UUAAAUGGCCGCAGUAUUUUGACUGUGCUAAGGUAGCAUAAUCAUUAGUUUUUUAAUUGAAAGCUGGAAUGAAGGGUUGGAUGAAAAAAAAACUGUCUCUAAUUAAUUUUUAUGGAAUUUUAUUUUUAAGUUAAAAAGCUUAAAUAAAGUUAAAAGACGAGAAGACCCUAUAGAGUUUAAAAAUUACUUUAAUUUUAUUAUUUAGAAUUAAUAUAUUAAAUUAAAUUAAUUUUUUAAUUGGGGUGAUUAAAAAAUUUAAUAAACUUUUUUUAUAUUUUUAUAUUUAUAUAUAAAUAUUUGAUCUAAUUAUUUUGAUUAAAAGAUUAAAUUACCUUAGGGAUAACAGCGUAAUUUUAUUGGAGAGUU
RNAcentral lists this ribosomal RNA (366 nucleotides) under Apophylia thoracica. Its description in RNAcentral is "partial 16S ribosomal RNA". Lineage: Eukaryota; Metazoa; Arthropoda; Insecta; Coleoptera; Chrysomelidae. The record is from RNAcentral.